GAAGGACCUUGUCAAGAAGCAUUCCGAGUUCAUCAGCUAUCCGAUCUAUUUGUGGGUUGAGAAGACAUUUGAGAAAGAGAUAAGUGAUGAUGAAGAUGACGAACCUAAGAAGGAAGGUGAUGUAGAGGAAAUUGAUGAGGAGAAGGAGGCCAAGCCCAAGAAGAAGAAGGUGAAAGAGGUCUCACAUGAAUGGGAGCUUAUCAACAAGCAAAAGCCCAUCUGGCUCCGCAAGCCUGAGGAAAUCACUAAGGAAGAGUAUGCCUCCUUCUACAAAAGCCUGACCAAUGAUUGGGAGGACCAUCUUGCUGUCAAGCACUUCUCUGUGGAGGGCCAGCUUGAGUUCAAGGCCAUUCUCUUUGUCCCCAAGCGGGCACCGUUUGAUCUCUUCGACACCAGGAAGAAAUUGAACAACAUCAAGCUCUAUGUCCGGAGAGUAUUCAUUAUGGACAAUUGUGAGGAGCUCAUCCCGGAGUACCUAAGCUUUGUCAAGGGUGUUGUUGACUCAGAUGACCUCCCUCUCAACAUCUCUCGUGAGACACUUCAGCAGAACAAGAUCCUGAAGGUGAUCAGGAAGAACCUUGUGAAGAAGUGUCUUGAAAUGUUUGCUGAGAUUGCCGAGAACAAGGAGGAUUAUGCCAAGUUCUAUGAGGCCUUUUCAAAGAAUCUGAAGCUGGGAAUCCAUGAAGACAGCCAGAACAGGGCUAAGCUUGCUGACCUCCUGCGGUUCCACUCCACCAAGAGUGGGGAGGAGAUGACCAGUUUGAAGGACUAUGUGACCAGGAUGAAGGAAGGUCAGAAAGAUAUCUACUACAUUACCGGAGAGAGC
RNAcentral lists this unclassified non-coding RNA (826 nucleotides) under Hevea brasiliensis (rubber tree). Lineage: Eukaryota; Viridiplantae; Streptophyta; Magnoliopsida; Malpighiales; Euphorbiaceae. The record is from RNAcentral.